CUCAAGUCUGUUAAUAUACUGUAUUACAUUUAUUGAUUUACCUAUGUUGAACCAUCCUUCCAUCCCUGAGAUGAAUCCUCACUUGGUCAGGGUGUAUGAUCUUCUUGAUGGUCCUCUGUAUUCUGUUUGCCAGUAUCUUGUUGAGGAUUUUUGCAUCUGUGUUCAUUAGGGGGAUUGGCCUGUAGUUCUCUUUUUUGGUUGGGUCUUUCUCUGCUUUUGGAAUCAAAGUAAUGCCUGCUUCCAGGAAUGAAUUUGGGAGUAUUGCUUCCCUUUCAAUGUAAUUAAAGUUUGAGAAGUAAUGGCAUUAGCUUUUCCCUAAAUUUUUUGUAGAAUUCAGGAGUGAAGCCAUCAGUACUUGUUUUUACUUUGUUUUUGAGGAAGGGUCUUCCUCUGGAGCUCAGGGUAGUCUUGAACUCACUAGGUAGCCAAGGCUGGCCUUGAACUUGCAGUGAUCCUUCUGCCUCAGCCUCCCAAGUGCUGAGAUUACAGGCACAUGCACCACUAUGUCUUGCAAAAAAAAACUACACUUAUUGUUUUGUUUAGCGCCUAGCUGUCCAUUAGAGCAACUUCUGGUUGUGCAUUAUGUGUGUGGUAGUACUGGGAGUUGAAUCUGGGGCACUCUAUACCACUGAGCCUUUUCUGUUGAGACAGGAUCUUGCUAAGUUGCCUACACUAGCUUUGAACUUGAAAUCUUCCCGUCUCAGCCUCAUGAGUAGCUGAAAUUACAGAUGUGAACCACCACACAUGGCUCCAAUAUAGAGCUCUUAAAGAAUUGGAAUGUGGAUACUCCAGAUCUGAGCAGAUCUGCUAGAAAAUAUUUUGUUUUUUAUGAUACUGGGAAUCAAAUAAGGCUGUACACUUGCCAGACAGGUUCUAUACUACUGAGCUGCUCCCCCUAACCCUAGUAGAAACUUUUGUUUUGUUUUGUUUUUCUGGUACCGGAGAUUGAACACGGGUCCUUGUGCUUGUGCAGCAGGUGGCAAAACCACUGAGCUAAAUCCCCGGCCCCCCAGUAGAAACUUUGAUACUGUUUGUCUUGCUGUAUAGUCCAGGCCAGCUUUGAACUCAUAAGCCUCCUGUUUUAGCCUUCCAAGUGCUGGGGUUAUAGGUGCAUGGCAUCAUCCUCAGCUCUACUAGAAACUUCUAGAUGGACAGGUGUGGUGGUUCAUGGCUGAAAUCUCCGAACUUAGAAGCCCGAGGCAGGAAGAUUGCCAUUUCAAGGCCAGCUGGGACUACAUAGCUCAAAGUUAAGUACAUAGUGAAACACUGUCUAAAUAAAUAAAUAGGCUGGGGAUGCACUCAAUGCAGAGGCCCUGGGUCCAAUUCCCUAGUACCAGAAGAAAGGAGGUUGAGGCUGGAUGAUUCCAUGUUCAAGGCCAGCCUGGGCAACACAGCAAGACUCUGUCUCUGGGCCGGAGAUUUAGCUCAGUGGUGCCGCCACCUGCCUUGAAAGCGCAGGGUCCUGAGUUUGAUCCCCGGUACCAAAAAAAAAAAAAAAACUGUCUCAGAAACAACAAUGAAACAAAGUCUAAUCAAUACUUCCCCAGAAAUUUGAGAAGCUACUGCAUCCAUAAAGAACAGAUUUCUGUGUAAAGAAAAUGGAGUUAGUACAAAUUAAGGCAGUUGUGAAAAUUAAAAUGAUAAAGGCUUAUAAACAUGGCGCUGAGAAGGCUAUAUCACUGCAAGAUGAAAGAUAAGCCGGGGAUUUAGCUCAGUGGCACGGUGCCUGCCUCACAAGCA
Long non-coding RNA from Heterocephalus glaber (naked mole-rat), 1740 nucleotides. The record is from Ensembl. NCBI's taxonomy places the organism in Eukaryota, Metazoa, Chordata, Mammalia, Rodentia, Bathyergidae.